UAGUUGGUAAGGUAACGGCUUACCAAGGCGACGAUCAGUAGCCGACCUGAGAGGGUGAUCGGCCACAUUGGAACUGAGACACGGUCCAAACUCCUACGGGAGGCAGCAGUGGGGAAUAUUGCACAAUGGGCGAAAGCCUGAUGCAGCAACGCCGCGUGGGUGAUGAAGGCCUUCGGGUCGUAAAACUCUGUCCUCAAGGAAGAUAAUGACGGUACUUGAGGAGGAAGCCCCGGCUAACUACGUGCCAGCAGCCGCGGUAAUACGUAGGGGGCUAGCGUUAUCCGGAUUUACU
RNAcentral lists this ribosomal RNA (292 nucleotides) under Clostridioides difficile. Its description in RNAcentral is "partial 16S ribosomal RNA". It matches the Rfam family "Bacterial small subunit ribosomal RNA", at positions 246 to 555 of the family's 1533-position model. Lineage: Bacteria; Bacillati; Bacillota; Clostridia; Peptostreptococcales; Peptostreptococcaceae. The record is from RNAcentral.